GCGGGCCCUACAAAUUGCAAGUUCGAACGGUAGCACAGAGAGCUUGCUCUCGGGUGACGAGUGGCGGACGGGUGAGUAAUGUCUGGGAAACUGCCUGAUGGAGGGGGAUAACUACUGGAAACGGUAGCUAAUACCGCAUAACGUCGCAAGACCAAAGUGGGGGACCUUCGGGCCUCUUGCCAUCGGAUGUGCCCAGAUGGGAUUAGCUUGUAGGUGAGGUAACGGCUCACCUAGGCGACGAUCCCUAGCUGGUCUGAGAGGAUGACCAGCCACACUGGAACUGAGACACGGUCCAUACUCCUACGGGAGGCAGCAGUGGGGAAU
RNAcentral lists this ribosomal RNA (324 nucleotides) under Klebsiella oxytoca. RNAcentral describes it as "bacterial SSU rRNA". It matches the Rfam family "Bacterial small subunit ribosomal RNA", at positions 42 to 362 of the family's 1533-position model. Lineage: Bacteria; Pseudomonadati; Pseudomonadota; Gammaproteobacteria; Enterobacterales; Enterobacteriaceae. The record is from RNAcentral.